Rhinopithecus roxellana (golden snub-nosed monkey) is the source of this 467-nucleotide long non-coding RNA. RefSeq lists it as uncharacterized. The record is from RefSeq and is a predicted model, not a curated record. Lineage: Eukaryota; Metazoa; Chordata; Mammalia; Primates; Cercopithecidae. The transcript has 4 exons.
UGAGAGGAAAUUCCUUGCUUCCCCUUUGCCUUUUGCCAUGACUGCAAGUUUCCUGAGACCGCCCCCCAGGUCAUGCUUCCUGUAAGCUUGUGGAACUGCCUGGAAGUCAUUUUGGAAGUGCUAGUUUCCUCAUCCAUUUUCCUGAAUCCGUCAGAACACUAAUGAAAAGUAAAAGGCAACAUUGGUCUCGUGGUAUGAAAAAGGCCCCUUUUGUUCAUUGAUUCCUGUCUUUCAUUCUUCAGUCCCUCUCUAUAGGAGAACAGGAUAUGUAGAUGGAGCUACCCAUUAAACCAACAUCCCAAGAAGGAGAGGACACAUGGAACAGACCCAGGCAGAGUCUCGGCAGACCUGCAGACCUGCAGACCCUUAGGAAUGUGACUGCAGUGCACAAAGGUAUACAUCUAAGAGUGCUCAUAGAAGCAUUGUACAGAAGAAAUGCAAAUACUUACAGUGGGUAUUAACAGGAG